AUAAAAAUACUUUGAAAGUUAGUAAACUUGAUAGUAAGGAAGAAAAGUGAGGUGCUAGUUGAUGGUUCUCCUUCAUGGAUCUGUAGCUAAUUAGAGGGGUGCCUCCCAGUGCAAUUUCCCUUUCCAGUUGAAGCAGCUGCUAAGCCCUGAGCUGCCACCUCCUAUCCCUGCAGUACCAGUACUGGAACACCAAGGCUCGGCGCAACGAGUUUACCGUACUGGAGCUCUAUGAGGGCACCGAGCAAUACAACGCCACCGCCUUCAGCUCCCUGGACCGCCCCCAGCUGCCCCAGGUCCUCCAGCAGUCCUAUAUCUUCCCGUCCUCCAUCAGUGCCAUGGAGGCCACCAUCACCGAACGGGGCAUCACCAGCCGACACCUGCUGAUUGGACUACCUUCUGGAGCAAUUCUUUCCCUUCCUAAGGCUUUGCUGGAUCCCCGCCGCCCCGAGAUCCCAACAGAACAAAGCAGAUGUACAGAUACACGCAGAGCGAUUCAUCAACUAUAACCAGACAGUUUCUCGAAU
RNAcentral lists this small RNA (524 nucleotides) under Pan troglodytes (chimpanzee). RNAcentral describes it as "retained intron". The record is from RNAcentral. Lineage: Eukaryota; Metazoa; Chordata; Mammalia; Primates; Hominidae.